AGUGAACGCUGGCGGUAGGCCUAAUACAUGCAAGUCGAACGGCAGCACAGUAAGAGCUUGCUCUUACGGGUGGCGAGUGGCGGACGGGUGAGGAAUACAUCGGAAUCUACUUUUUCGUGGGGGAUAACGUAGGGAAACUUACGCUAAUACCGCAUACGACCUACGGGUGAAAGCAGUGGAUCUUCUGACCUUGCGCGAUUGAAUGAGCCGAUGUCGGAUUAGCUAGUUGGCGGGGUAAAGGCCCACCAAGGCGACGAUCCGUAGCUGGUCUGAGAGGAUGGUCAGCCACACUGGAACUGGGACACGGUCCAGGCGCCUACGGGAGGCAGCAGUGGGGAAUAUUGGACAAUGGGCGCAAGCAUGAUCCAGCCAUACCGCGUGGGUGAAGAAGGCCUUGGGGUUGUGAAGCCGUUUUGUUGGGAAAGAAAAGCAGCAGGUUAAUACCCAGCUGUUCUGACGGUACCCAAAGAAUAAGCACCGGCUAACUUCGUG
Molecule: ribosomal RNA, 492 nt
Filed under: uncultured bacterium
Lineage: Bacteria
Description: partial 16S ribosomal RNA
Rfam family: Bacterial small subunit ribosomal RNA
Source: RNAcentral